This 341-nucleotide long non-coding RNA is filed under the name Marmota monax (woodchuck). Lineage: Eukaryota; Metazoa; Chordata; Mammalia; Rodentia; Sciuridae. The record is from RNAcentral.
ACUAUCUGAAGAAAGUUCAUGCUAAAAAUAUGAUAUGAUUAAUGGAUAAAUAUGAUCAGAUAUCUGCACCAAGUUCUCAGCCUGAUAAGGAGAAUCCUUUUGUGUCAACCUAAUGAAGCAUUCAAAGAAGUCAUAUGACUCUUUUCAAGAUGAACUUGAAGAUUAUAUUAAAGCACAGAAAGACAGAGGCUUAGUUAGAGUCAAGACUUGUUCCAGGAAGAUGAUAGAGAACUAUUUGGAAACCUGUGGGUACAGAGAAGAGGUUGAUUCCAGACCCAGAUAUAGAAUGUUUGAUCAAAAACUCCCAUCUGGAACUGUCCAGACCUACCCAAGAUCAUGCA